RNAcentral lists this non-coding RNA (170 nucleotides) under Gorillibacterium timonense. RNAcentral's name for it is "FMN riboswitch (RFN element)". It matches the Rfam family "FMN riboswitch aptamer (RFN element)". Rfam says of the family: The RFN element is a highly conserved domain that is found frequently in the 5'-untranslated regions of prokaryotic mRNAs that encode for flavin mononucleotide (FMN) biosynthesis and transport proteins. Lineage: Bacteria; Bacillati; Bacillota; Bacilli; Caryophanales; Paenibacillaceae. The record is from RNAcentral.
UUCCUUCGGGGCAGGGUGCAAUUCCCUACCGGCGGUGACCGCAGACUGGAUUUACUCCACAUGCGGAAGUCCGUGACCCGUGUGGAUGAACAGCCUUCGAGCUGCUGCAUCUACGCGGCUGAUCCGGUGCAAGUCCGGGACCGACAGUUACAGUCUGGAUGGGAGAAGGA